This 253-nucleotide ribosomal RNA is filed under the name uncultured bacterium. RNAcentral's name for it is "partial 16S ribosomal RNA". It matches the Rfam family "Bacterial small subunit ribosomal RNA", at positions 524 to 776 of the family's 1533-position model. The record is from RNAcentral.
UACGGAGGGUGCAAGCGUUAUCCGGAUUCACUGGGUUUAAAGGGUGCGUAGGUGGGCAGGUAAGUCAGUGGUGAAAGCUCCGAGCUUAACUUGGAAACUGCCAUUGAUACUGUAUAUCUUGAAUAUCGUAGAGGUUAGCGGAAUGUUGCAUGUAGCGGUGAAAUGCUUAGAUAUGUUACAGAACACCAAUUGCGAAGGCAGCUAACUAUGCGACAAUUGACGCUGAGGCACGAAAGCGUGGGGAGCAAACAGG